GCGAGGCCGAAAGGCGUAGUCGAUGGGAAACAGGUUAAUAUUCCUGUACUUGGUGUUACUGCGAAGGGGGGACGGAGAAGGCUAUGUUGGCCGGGCGACGGUUGUCCCGGUUUAAGCGUGUAGGCUGGUUUUCCAGGCAAAUCCGGAAAAUCAAGGCUGAGGCGUGAUGACGAGGCACUACGGUGCUGAAGCGACAAAUGCCCUGCUUCCAGGAAAAGCCUCUAAGCAUCAGGUAACAUCAAAUCGUACCCCAAACCGACACAGGUGGUCAGGUAGAGAAUACCAAGGCGCUUGAGAGAACUCGGGUGAAGGAACUAGGCAAAAUGGUGCCGUAACUUCGGGAGAAGGCACGCUGAUAUGUAGGUGAAGCGACUUGCUCGUGGAGCUGAAAUCAGUCGAAGAUACCAGCUGGCUGCAACUGUUUAUUAAAAACACAGCACUGUGCAAACACGAAAGUGGACGUAUACGGUGUGACGCCUGCCCGGUGCCGGAAGGUUAAUUGAUGGGGUUAGCGGUAACGCGAAGCUCUUGAUCGAAGCCCCGGUAAACGGCGGCCGUAACUAUAACGGUCCUAAGGUAGCGAAAUUCCUUGUCGGGUAAGUUCCGACCUGCACGAAUGGCGUAAUGAUGGCCAGGCUGUCUCCACCCGAGACUCAGUGAAAUUGAACUCGCUGUGAAGAUGCAGUGUACCCGCGGCAAGACGGAAAGACCCCGUGAACCUUUACUAUAGCUUGACACUGAACAUUGAGCCUUGAUGUGUAGGAUAGGUGGGAGGCUUUGAAGUGUGGACGCCAGUCUGCAUGGAGCCGACCUUGAAAUACCACCCUUUAAUGUUUGAUGUUCUAACGUGGGCCCCUUACCGGGGUUGCGGACAGUGUCUGGUGGGUAGUUUGACUGGGGCGGUCUCCUCCUAAAGAGUAACGGAGGAGCACGAAGGUUGGCUAAUCCUGGUCGGACAUCAGGAGGUUAGUGCAAUGGCAUAAGCCAGCUUGACUGCGAGCGUGACGGCGCGAGCAGGUGCGAAAGCAGGUCAUAGUGAUCCGGUGGUUCUGAAUGGAAGGGCCAUCGCUCAACGGAUAAAAGGUACUCCGGGGAUAACAGGCUGAUACCGCCCAAGAGUUCAUAUCGACGGCGGUGUUUGGCACCUCGAUGUCGGCUCAUCACAUCCUGGGGCUGAAGUAGGUCCCAAGGGUAUGGCUGUUCGCCAUUUAAAGUGGUACGCGAGCUGGGUUUAGAACGUCGUGAGACAGUUCGGUCCCUAUCUGCCGUGGGCGCUGGAGAACUGAGGGGGGCUGCUCCUAGUACGAGAGGACCGGAGUGGACGCAUCACUGGUGUUCGGGUUGUCAUGCCAAUGGCACUGCCCGGUAGCUAAAUGCGGAAGAGAUAAGUGCUGAAAGCAUCUAAGCACGAAACUUGCCCCGAGAUGAGUUCUCCCUGACUCCUUGAGAGUCCUGAAGGAACGUUGAAGACGACGACGUUGAUAGGCCGGGUGUGUAAGCGCAGCGAUGCGUUGAGCUAACCGGUACUAAUGAACCGUGAGGCUUAACCUUACAACGCCGAAG
Molecule: ribosomal RNA, 1563 nt
Filed under: Escherichia coli
Lineage: Bacteria; Pseudomonadati; Pseudomonadota; Gammaproteobacteria; Enterobacterales; Enterobacteriaceae
Description: partial 23S ribosomal RNA
Rfam family: Bacterial large subunit ribosomal RNA
Source: RNAcentral